AUGAGGCUUCUGCGGGUGGCCACCUGCAACCUCAACCAGUGGGCCAUGGACUUCGACACCAACCUCCGCAACGUCAAGGAGUCCAUCUCCCGGGCCAAGGCCGCCGGCGCCGUCGUCCGCAUCGGCCCCGAGCUCGAGCUCACCGGAUACGGCUGCGAGGACCAUUUCCUCGAGCAGGACACCACCGCGCACGCAUGGGAGUGCCUGAAGGACAUUUUGUCUGGUGACUAUACAGAUGACAUCUUGUGCAGCAUAGGAAUGCCUAUUAUUUUCAAGAGUGUGCGGUACAACUGCCAGGUUUUCUGCCUAAAUCGCAAGAUAAUUAUGAUUCGGCCAAAGAUGUCCCUUGCAAAUGAUGGGAACUAUCGUGAAUUUCGAUGGUUUUCUGCUUGGACAUAUAAAGAUGAACUUGUCGAUUUUCAACUCCCUAUUGAUGUCUCAGAGGUUAUAGACCAGGAAACUGUACCUUUUGGUUAUGGUUAUCUGCAGUUUCUCGACGUAUCUUUGGCCGCCGAAACCUGUGAAGAGCUAUUUACUGCAAAUGCUCCUCGGAUUGAUCUAGCAUUCAGUGGCGUUGAGGUCUUCAUGAAUGCAAGUGGAAGCCAUCAUCAGUUAAGGAAGCUCAACCUUCGGAUUGAUUCCAUGAGAGACGCAACCCGUUUAUGUGGUGGUGUAUACAUGUAUGCUAAUCACCAGGGUUGUGAUGGUGGCCGCCUUUAUUAUGAUGGCUGCUGCUGCAUUGCGGUGAAUGGGGAUGUGGUUGCCCAGGGAUCACAAUUCUCAUUGAAGGAUGUUGAAGUGUUGGAUGCUUUGAUAGAUCUGGAUGCUGUAUCAAGUUAUCGAGCAUGUGUUUCUAGUUUUAGGGAGCAAGCAAGUCAUGUAACAAAAGUACCUUGUGUUAAGGUACAAUAUAAGCUUUGCCAAACAUUUCGUGAUGGAAUGAUCCCAACUGAUCCAAUUGAGGUUAUGUAUCACUGUCCUGAGGAGGAGAUUGCAUUUGGACCUAGUUGCUGGCUGUGGGAUUAUCUUCGCAGAAGUCGAGCAUCUGGAUUUUUGCUUCCACUUUCUGGUGGUGCGGAUAGUUCGUCCGUUGCAGCAAUUGUUGGCUGCAUGUGCCAGCUUGUCAUAAAAGAUAUAGAUAAAGGAGAUGAGCAAGUUAAGGCAGAUGCUAUGCGGAUUGGUCAGUACAGAGAUGGGGAGUUCCCCACAGACAGCAGAGAGCUUGCAAAACGUUUAUUUUAUACUGUUUACAUGGGAACAGAAAAUAGUUCUGAAGAUACCAGAUCACGCGCCAAAAGGCUGGCGGAAGAGAUUGGUUCAUUCCACUUUGAUGUACCUAUUGACAGUGUAGUGUCUGCAUUUCUUUCUUUGUUUGAAAGAUUAACUGGCAAGCGACCACGCUACAAGGUUGACGGGGGAUCACAUACUGAGAAUCUGGGAUUGCAAAAUAUUCAAGCUCGAAUCAGGAUGGUGCUGGCCUUUAUGAUGGCUUCUCUAAUGCCAUGGGUUCAUAACAAGUCUGGGUUCUAUCUUGUUCUUGGAAGCUCAAAUGUGGAUGAAGGAUUGCGUGGUUACUUGACGAAAUAUGACUGCAGUUCAGCUGAUAUAAACCCCAUUGGAAGUGUAAGUAAGCAAGACCUUAGGGCUUUCCUACGAUGGGCAGCAGUUCAUCUUCAGUAUUCUUCAUUGGCUGAGGUUGAAGCUGCACCUCCUACUGCAGAGCUUGAGCCAAUCCGCACAGAUUAUAGCCAGUUGGAUGAAGUGGACAUGGGGAUGACAUACGAGGAGUUAUCGAUAUAUGGGAGAUUAAGGAAAAUAUUCCGAUGCGGUCCUGUUUCGAUGUUUCAGAACCUCUGCCACAGGUGGUGUGGGCGACUAUCCCCCUCAGAAGUGGCCGAUAAAGUGAAGCACUUCUUCAAGUACUAUGCCAUAAACCGGCACAAGAUGACGGUCUUGACACCAUCCUAUCACGCUGAGAGCUAUUCACCAGAGGAUAACAGGUUCGAUCUCCGGCAGUUCCUAUACAACUCGACAUGGCCGUACCAGUUUCGCAAGAUUGAUCAACUUGUACAAGAUAUCGACAAAGAUGGCAAAUGGGUGGAAGAUCGUCGCGCAGACUCGCAGCUGAGACAACGCGGAGCCGCUAGGCCUGCCCAGGGAGGUGGAAUGGGAGUCGUGGCCGCGGGAUCUGCCAAUCCCGGUGUUGGGCUGUAA
This 2214-nucleotide ribosomal RNA is filed under the name Triticum aestivum (bread wheat). Its description in RNAcentral is "partial small subunit ribosomal RNA". The record is from RNAcentral. Lineage: Eukaryota; Viridiplantae; Streptophyta; Magnoliopsida; Poales; Poaceae.